Molecule: ribosomal RNA, 254 nt
Filed under: uncultured bacterium
Lineage: Bacteria
Description: partial 16S ribosomal RNA
Rfam family: Bacterial small subunit ribosomal RNA
Source: RNAcentral
UACGUAGGGGGCAAGCGUUGUCCGGAUUUAUUGGGCGUAAAGAGCUCGUAGGCGGCUUGGCAAGUCGGGUGUGAAAACUCCAGGCUCAACCUGGAGAUGCCACUCGAGACUGCUAUGGCUAGAGUCCGGUAGGGGACCACGGAAUUCCUGGUGUAGCGGUGAAAUGCGCAGAUAUCAGGAGGAACACCGGUGGCGAAGGCGGUGGUCUGGGCCGGCACUGACGCUGAGGAGCGAAAGCGUGGGGAGCGAUCCGG